This 72-nucleotide transfer RNA is filed under the name Oscillibacter sp. Its description in RNAcentral is "tRNA-Ala". It matches the Rfam family "tRNA". Rfam says of the family: Transfer RNA (tRNA) molecules are approximately 80 nucleotides in length. Their secondary structure includes four short double-helical elements and three loops (D, anti-codon, and T loops). Lineage: Bacteria; Bacillati; Bacillota; Clostridia; Eubacteriales; Oscillospiraceae. The record is from RNAcentral.
GGGGUAUAGCUCAGCUGGGAGAGCGCUUGAAUGGCAUUCAAGAGGUCAGCGGUUCGAUCCCGCUUAUCUCCA